Molecule: ribosomal RNA, 439 nt
Filed under: uncultured bacterium
Lineage: Bacteria
Description: partial 16S ribosomal RNA
Rfam family: Bacterial small subunit ribosomal RNA
Source: RNAcentral
CCUACGGGCGGCAGCAGUGGGGAAUAUUGCACAAUGGGGGAAACCCUGAUGCAGCGACGCCGCGUGAGUGAAGAAGUAAUUCGUUAUGUAAAGCUCUAUCAGCAGGGAAGAAAAUGACGGUACCUGAGUAAGAAGCCCCGGCUAACAACGUGCCAGCAGCCGCGGUAAUACGUAGGGGGCAAGCGGUAUCCGGAUUUACUGGGUGUAAAGGGAGCGUAGACGGAGGUGCAAGUCUGGGGUGAAAGGACGGGCUCAACCCCCGGACUGGUCUGGAAACUGUACGGCUGGAGUGCAGGAGAGGUAAGUGGAAUUCCUAGUGUAGCGGUGAAAUGCGGAGAUAUUAGGAGGAACACCAGUGGCGAAGGCGGCUUACUGGACUGUAACUGACGUUGAGGCUCGAAAGCGUGGGGAGCAAACAGGAUUAGAUACCCCAGUAGUC